GAUGAACGCUGGCGGCGUGCCUAAUACAUGCAAGUCGAACGAGGCCCUUUGUAUUCGUACGAAGGUGUCCUAGUGGCGAACGGGUGAGUAACACGUAGGUGACCUACCCCGAAGUGGGGGACAACUCUGGGAAACUAGAGCUAAUACCCCAUGUUCUCCAUGGUGUUAGAGGACCAUGGAGCAAAGGAGCAAUCCGCUUUGGGAGGGGGCCUGCGGCCCAUCAGCUAGUUGGUAGGGUAAUGGCCUACCAAGGCUAUGACGGGUAGGGGACCUGAGAGGGUGGUCCCCCACACUGGAACUGAAACACGGACCAGACACCUACGGGUGGCAGCAGUAGGGAAUAUUGCACAAUGGGCGAAAGCCUGAUGCAGCAACGCCGCGUGCGCGAUGAAGGCCUUCGGGUUGUAAAGCGCUUUUCUGGGGGAAGAGGAAGGACUGUACCCCAGGAAUAAGUCUCGGCUAACUACGUG
RNAcentral lists this ribosomal RNA (470 nucleotides) under uncultured bacterium. Its description in RNAcentral is "bacterial SSU rRNA". It matches the Rfam family "Bacterial small subunit ribosomal RNA", at positions 28 to 507 of the family's 1533-position model. The record is from RNAcentral.